RNAcentral lists this ribosomal RNA (253 nucleotides) under uncultured bacterium. RNAcentral describes it as "partial 16S ribosomal RNA". It matches the Rfam family "Bacterial small subunit ribosomal RNA", at positions 524 to 776 of the family's 1533-position model. The record is from RNAcentral.
UACGAAGGGGGCUAGCGUUUUUCGGAUUUACUGGGCGUAAAGCGCGUGUAGGCGGGCCGUUAAGAUGGGGGUGAAAUCCCGGAGCUCAACUCCGGAACUGCCUUCAUGACUGGCGGCCUGGACCCAAAUAGAGGCAAGUGGAAUUGCGAGUGUAGAGGUGAAAUUCGUAGAUAUUCGCAGGAACACCAGUGGCGAAGGCGACUUGCUGGAUUUGUGGUGACGCUGAGACGCGAAAGCGUGGGGAGCAAACAGG